GCCUGGGUGGCUCAGUCGAUUAAGCAUCCGACUUCGGCUCAGGUCAUGAUCUCACGGUUCGUGGGUUCGAGCCCCGCUCUGGGCU
RNAcentral lists this transfer RNA (85 nucleotides) under Felis catus (domestic cat). It matches the Rfam family "tRNA". From Rfam's summary of the family: Transfer RNA (tRNA) molecules are approximately 80 nucleotides in length. Their secondary structure includes four short double-helical elements and three loops (D, anti-codon, and T loops). The record is from Rfam by way of RNAcentral. Lineage: Eukaryota; Metazoa; Chordata; Mammalia; Carnivora; Felidae.